CUGGUAUGUAGCGCACCGGGCUUUGAACGUGCACUGGGGACACCGUGCGCUCCACAGCAUAACACGGUGUCUUACCAGUACCACGCUGCUUCCGGUAAGCACGGGGAGUUGGCUUAGGUCUACCACCUGACUCCGCCAAUCUCCCCGUGUGCCCCCCCCCAAAAAAAUUGUGGGGCUGCCUCCCGUGUCCGUUGCGCUCCCUCUCCUCAUACCAGCGCCUCUCAGCUCUCGCCGCCUCGAUCUCCCACUGUGGGCGGCGAUAAUCCCCAGCUUGAGUCCAUGGUCCUUUCCCGUCCAGGAUUUCCUCCCAAGUCCAUGACUCCAGAUAGCCUUUCUCCUGGUGCCUCUCCUUGUGCUGCUCCUUCCUCUGCUGCUUGGUCCGUUGUCGGUGUGCAUCUUCAACGACUGGCUGACCAGUUUUAAAAAACAAACCAACAAAGAACAGGACAGGUUCCUAUAUUACAGAUUCCUCUUCUACAGGUAUGCAUGCCGUGUUGACUUCAUGCUGCUGCUGUGGCUACAUGCCAAACCUUUCAGAAUUCCUGUCGGGCAGCAAGUUGCCACGGAGGAGGACCAGAUUGUGGAAGGGAAUGAGUGCAAGGCCUACUCCCAGCCCCACCUUGGUGUCUCUGAACUCUGGGUACCACCUCUGUGGUGGUUCCUUGGUCAAUGAGAACUGGGUUGUGUCUGCUGCUUACUGCUACAUGUCAUGAGUAAACUACAUACCUGUACAUGAAGUAUCCUAUGUGCUUAUAGAUAAGACUUCCAUGUAAUGAAUACAUUCAAUAUGUGUACUGGUACAUCAAGCUGCCUCGCGCUACAGAAACAGGAGAUAGGCUCCUGUUCCUAUUAGCCGUUCCGGCUCGCACACGCCAAGGCUUGUACAAGCCACGUGGAGGUGCAUCUGGGCAAGAACAACAUUGCCAGGACUGAGGGUAAAGAGUAGUUCAUCUCUUCUUCCCGCAUCAUCCCCCACCCCAACUACAGCUCCUACAACAUCAACAAUGACAUCAUGCUGAUCAAGCUGAGCAAACCCGCCACCCUCAACACCUACGUGCAGCCUGUUGCUCUGCCCACCAGCUGUGCCCCUGCUGGCACCAUGUGUACCGUCUCUAGACGUGGCAACACCAUGAGCUCUAGUGACUCCAGUGGCCCCGUGGUGUGCAACGGUGAGUUGCAGGGUGUUGUGUCCUGAGGUUAUGGCUGUGCCGAGCCCGGUAACUCCGGUGUCUAUGCCAAGGUGUGCAUCUUCAAUGACUGGCUGACAAGCACCAUGGCCACCUACUAAAUCUGAUCCUAGCUUCGGUCCUCCAGCAUGGUCCUACAACUCUACAGCAUCCUGUGCAGUUCAACAUCCACAUUUUUUCCCAUGACAAAUAAAGCAUUUAACACUAAAUACUUUUU
RNAcentral lists this long non-coding RNA (1404 nucleotides) under Salmo salar (Atlantic salmon). Its description in RNAcentral is "lncRNA (ENSSSAG00000097791.1)". The record is from RNAcentral. Lineage: Eukaryota; Metazoa; Chordata; Actinopteri; Salmoniformes; Salmonidae.